This 86-nucleotide microRNA precursor is filed under the name Tursiops truncatus (common bottlenose dolphin). RNAcentral's name for it is "miRNA (ENSTTRG00000024504.1)". Lineage: Eukaryota; Metazoa; Chordata; Mammalia; Artiodactyla; Delphinidae. The record is from RNAcentral.
UCAUCUGGGAAUCUUGUUAAAAUGCAGUUUUACAUCUUUGCUGAAGCCUGAGAUUUUGCAUUUCUAACAAGCUCCCAACAGUUCCG